This 253-nucleotide ribosomal RNA is filed under the name uncultured bacterium. RNAcentral's name for it is "partial 16S ribosomal RNA". It matches the Rfam family "Bacterial small subunit ribosomal RNA", at positions 524 to 776 of the family's 1533-position model. The record is from RNAcentral.
UACAGAGGGUGCGAGCGUUGUCCGGAAUCACUGGGCGUAAAGGGCGCGUAGGUGGCGCUGCAAGUCGGUGGUGAAAGCUCGUCGCUUAACGACGAGUCGGCCAUCGAAACUGCGGGGCUGGAGCACUGUAGGGGCAGAUGGAAUUCCGGGUGUAGCGGUGGAAUGCGUAGAGAUCCGGAAGAACACCGGUGGCGAAGGCGGCCUGCUGGGCAGUAGCUGACACUGAGGCGCGACAGCGUGGGGAGCAAACAGG